AGUUAAUUGGUAGGUGUGGUUAAUAAUUAUGGCCCAUCCUACAUUGUAGUGAAGAUGUGUGGCUUAUUCUUGUUAACAAAUUGACUGGCUGGGACUUCAAUAUUAAAGGACCUUCUUUCUUGAUGUCUUUGGGCGACGGGACAUCUUUCACUAUCAUUGGGGAGUUGUUAUACUCAAUCUUGGCCUGUCCGAGGCUAACCUUAUCCAUUACAACUGUAGUUACCGAGUGAGAUGGACUUUGAUGUACACUAAUGAAGUCUUACUCCUUCUCAAGGCGAUGGAUCAUCUUUUACCAAGAUAGGACAGCUUAUAUUCAUUAUAUCUAUUCAAUUGUACAACAUUACUGUAUAUACUGAGAUAUUUAGCUGUUGUUUAAUUACUGUGUGGUGUGUAAACUGUAUUACCUGUAUUUUAGUGUAGUAUCAAGUUUAUUAUAACAAUAACAGUGACUAUUUAGCUAACUAUUAGGUGUGAUGAUGGCAGUAGUGUUGUUAUUACUUAAAAGAAUGUAUUAUUAAUAAAUUAA
RNAcentral lists this long non-coding RNA (526 nucleotides) under Amphimedon queenslandica. RNAcentral's name for it is "uncharacterized LOC109591930". Lineage: Eukaryota; Metazoa; Porifera; Demospongiae; Haplosclerida; Niphatidae. The record is from RNAcentral.